AUGGCCGCCGCCGCCGCAGCGACGCUCGCCCCGGCCUCCCCUCCGCUGCUGCCCUCCGUCUGCGUCCGCCGCGACGGCCGGCUGCGCCUCACGCCCCGCCGCGCCGCCGGGUGCCGCUGCAGGGCGACGGCGCAGUUCCAGGGCGGCCCCGCCGCCAGCUACGCCCGCGAGAUGGAGCGCCUCUCCGCCAAGGAGUCCCUGCUCCUCGCCUUCAGGGACUCUGGAGGCUUCGAAUCCUUUGUGAGCGGCAAGACCACGGAGAUGCAGAAGAUCGACGUCAAUGAGCGCAUCGUCGGCCUCGAACGCCUCAACCCCACUCCUCGUCCCACAACAUCGCCCUACCUGGAAGGUCGAUGGAACAUUGAAUGGAGGUCACCUACAAGUGUCGCACACUUUACGGGGCUUGAUGUGGUGAUCAGGGAUGGCUACUGCAAAAUUUCCUCAAACGUCAAGCUCUUUAAUACGAUACAAAACAGAUUUGUUCUGACUACUCAGCUGUCUGUGGAGGGGCCUAUCAGGAUGAAGGAGGAGUACGUUGAGGGAUUUUUGGAAACCCCCAAAAUCAGUGAAGAAACACUGCCUGAACAACUGAAGGGCUUAAUUGGACAAACUGCAGGGGCUCUACAACAACUUCCUGCCUCUAUAAGGGAUGCUGUUUCGGAGGGGGUUAAGUUACCUCUUAAUGGGAUGUACCAGCGCUUAUUCAUGAUUUCCUACCUUGAUGAAGAAAUACUGAUAAUCCGAGAUGCUGCUGGAGCACCUGAUGUCCUGACAAAACUGGAAGGGCCGCAACCAAACCCAAUGGAGAACACGCCCGAUGUAGUGAUUCCGGAAUAUCAAAGCUAG
Molecule: ribosomal RNA, 846 nt
Filed under: Triticum aestivum (bread wheat)
Lineage: Eukaryota; Viridiplantae; Streptophyta; Magnoliopsida; Poales; Poaceae
Description: partial small subunit ribosomal RNA
Source: RNAcentral